This 105-nucleotide small nuclear RNA is filed under the name Bos taurus (domestic cattle). Lineage: Eukaryota; Metazoa; Chordata; Mammalia; Artiodactyla; Bovidae. RNAcentral also lists the same sequence under 1 other name. The record is from RNAcentral.
AUGCUCAAUUUCAAUAGCACUUACACUAAAGUUAUAACAAUACAAGAAAGACUGGCAGUCCCCUGCACACGAAUGACACGCCAAGUUGUAACAUUCUAUAUUUUA